Molecule: long non-coding RNA, 15166 nt
Filed under: Populus trichocarpa (black cottonwood)
Lineage: Eukaryota; Viridiplantae; Streptophyta; Magnoliopsida; Malpighiales; Salicaceae
Description: long non-coding RNA (PTRI_LNC002457)
Source: RNAcentral
GGACAGUUGAGGACAAACAAUGCACAGCCAUGCAUCUCUACCUCCAUUGAUAUUGAAUCUUUUAUUUCUCCAAAAUCUUUUCCACUCCAAACUUCUCUGCCGAAACAUGACGUCGCAUUCAAGUUUUUCCCAGGAAGUGCCUUAGUCAGGUCUGAUAUCGUUGCUGAUAUUACUGUCUUCUCUGAGUUCAGAUUGAAAAGUGCAACAUAAAUCUCUCCUGAGUAAACAGUGGCAAAGUCAGUACUGAAUUAUUAAGAGCAACAGACACAUGUGAUAUGCCAUAAAAGUUUUCAGACAAUGAACUCAGCAUGGUAUGGUUGGAUACUACCAGAUCAGUGUCAUAGUAGACACAGAAGUUGGCAGCUAGAAGAAGAAGAUCAUUAAUUCUCUUUAAAUUAGGCAACUUGGAACUUGAUAAAAUGAAUAUAUAUUUACGUAAUCAAUGAAGCAUGAAUAUAGAUAAAGAGCAGACAAUUUUCCACCUCAGUUACAAGGACAAAAAAAACCAGUUAGAUUUAAAAUAGCAUCCCUUCACUAAGGAGGACAAUUAUAAUUAUCUUACGAUAACCGAUGAUGAGCAUAUGGCUCAGUGGUAGAGAUCUCUUGUUCAAGUCUCAUCUCUGUCAAAACUUCAACAAAAAUCCGAACAUAGUCAUCUAAAAAAGAAAAACCAUCUCAGGGUUGAAGUUUCUUAUCAAACCACAAACUUCUUUGGGUUCUUUUAAAAAGAAAAAAACAGCAAAGGAAUGGUAACAGAAUGGAAACCAAAUUUAUAGAGACUUUAGGGGGGCAUUAAACCUUUUCUACCAGUAGCAAUCCAAGAGCGAACUCCUCCGCUGUUACCAACAUUAGCUGCAUAUAUCAAGGAAGGAUCAUCAAAUAGCCCUUAUCGUAUGUAUAGAAAAUCAGCUUCAACUUCUAGCAUAAUACCGUCAAUUGAUUUCACAGUUACACAGAGACCAGAAUAGCUGCUGAUAAGGGAUCCAUUAUUGCUCAACUCCCACAUCUGUUGAAAUUAAGAGUUUGCUUUCAAAUACCACUCAUAUAUGUAAAAUUCAUGAGAAAAAAAUGUCACCCUGCAGACUGGCUGUGAGCAGAAAAACACAAGCAUUCUGGCAAACCAAUUAAUUAUAUGUAUUUGUUAAAUUGUUUGAUGUAGAUUUAUCUCCUUUGCAUUCCACCAAAAUCUUACAGGAUACUAACCUCUGUGCCUCUUUGUUAGAUGCUAGGGAAUUGUGAAUGAAGAGAUACCUGGUUGGCAUCUGAUCUGCAAGGGGAGAAGGAACCACUGUUAAAUUCUUUUGAAGUACGCUUCUUUCUUGGAGAUGCAUCCAAACAAAACUCCAUUUCAUGACUAGCUAAUAAAUGGAACCCUCCUUGAUUGGAAAUUAACCGUCCAUCACUACAUUGCCAUUCACAGAAUCAGAUAGUGAAAAUAAUAAUAAUAACUCCUUGUUUGGAACAACUUGAAUAAGGAAGGUGAAAGUGCAUACGAAGUCAAAAUUCGCUUGUAUAGGCAUAAAGGUUCAUGGCUUCUCAUGCUCUCUUUCCAGCAUAUCUGGUCAAGAUCUUGGUCAAGUGCUUUAAUUGACCAACCGUUAACUUUGGGAUGGUUACAGCUAGUGAAACCCAGAAACUGUGUAUGUGAUGUGCCAACUUCCUUCAAACUUCUUCUCAAUCUUCGGCUGUGAUUCGUGGUCUUAUGUGCAGAAACCUUUGUGCCAGUAACAAAUGGAAACUGCAUGUGCAAUGCGAUGAUACAUCAGAAAAAAACUCAGUUAAUAUUCCAAAGACCUCUUAAAGACAUUGUUUCACAUGCCUCCAUAUUGUUCGUGCUAAAAGAAUUUAUUUCCAGAAUGAAGGGAUUGGUGAUCAAAUUAGAUGUGGUCUCAUCAAGCCUUCUAACAUCUCCUCCAAACAUGAUAGGGGAUCUGGCCAUUGCCCACAAAGUCAUCUGUGAAGGAAAAUACUUGUAUCGAGUCAUCAAUAAAGAAUCUUAAUCUUUUAACAAACAACGGACGCACAUAUAGAGUUGCAUGUACAUACCUGGGUUUUCUGCUCAUCUAGAUUAAGGUUACUCAUUCUGUAUGGUCCUCUGCCAGAACCUAGGAUACAGAAAAGCAAUGUGAUUAUUCAAGUUUUUGUCUUUUCCAGUAGAACUCUUAACACUUUCAAGUUAAUCAUGAAUACCCCAGCAACUUAUGUGGCAAACCCCUAGACCCAAGGAAAAAACAGGUCCAGAUGUAUUACUUUUCAAUGAUUGUCACUAGGAUGUGUGCCGUUCCAGUUAAUUACCAUGAUAAACACUCGUGCAUGGACAAGCUAUGCAAUUUUGCUACCCCAAUGUAACAGCAAGCAUUCCACUACUUCGUUCAAUUUACAUGUCAGCAAUCCAUGUUGCAAUCAGCUUUUCCUAUACUCAGUCUCACCAACCCCUUACAAAAUAAAAUCACUUAAAAUGUACUAGAAUUAAAGAGAACAAUCUGCUAAUUUUUAUCACCAGGAUCUGUAAGCCAUCCUAUGGGCAGCAUAUCCAAGUCAGGCCAUGACCUCCCCAGCAAGCCCUUCGCACCAAUCUUAUUAUCAGCAGCAAAGUCCCUGAAGUAGAUGAACAAGAAAUCACAUAAAAAAUGAGAGAAUAGAAGAAAAGCACCAAUUAGGAGCGAUGAUCUAUAUAUAAUUCGAACUUUAAGCUCUUAUUUUACAUGAAAACUUUAUUCCACCUUGAAACAUCAAAAUGAGCUGCAACAUCUCCCCAUGUAUCCCAAUCAUCACCUGUGACCCUGUACAUGUUGACUAACCCACUUAUAUCUUUCUCCAUGACUGGUGUCGGGAUAACUCCCGGAGACACAGAAUACAGAAUGGGACGACUGAGCUUUUGCAGAACCUGAACAAGUGCACUUCAUGUAUCAUCAUCUCUAUUCAGAAAAGAUUGAAGACAUAAAAUUUAUGCACCAGAAAGUGCUGUAUACCUCUGACACAAAUGUUAUUUCAUCUACAUCCAAGUCAUUACCAAAUACACAAUCAUGUUUCACUGCAAAUAAAAGAGAAGAAACGAACAUGAAAAUUAUUAAAACAAAGAAAGACUGACAUGAAGCCACUAAGAAAAUGCAGAGGUAUAAAUAACAGGAGGGGAGAUUGAAAUGUGCAGAAUUCACAGCUUUGUAAUAAAUACGAGUCAAAAUUACUAUCCAUAAGAAGCUUGCCCGAGCCUAAAAUGCUUGAAGAGGUCAAAACUCUACUAGACUCGCAAUAUUACUAUCCAGUCCUUCCAGGACCUUCAACAUACAUUCCCCACAUCAUUAUAGAAACAAUAUUUCUUCCAUGCUUCCAAAAAUGGAAUUCUCGAAAGAUGCAAUGCUGCUUUGACAAGUUAUUUUACCAUUUUUAAUCAGUAAAAAGAAAAAUUCAUUCUCUAUAAAAUGUUGAGACUUGAGAUACACCCUUUUGGACUCACAGGCUUCUUAAUGUGUUGGGUAAGAUGGAAAAAUGCAGGUUUCAGUUAAUUAUUAAUUACCAAAAUCAACACCCCACUCAGCAUACUGUUCAUAAAGUGACCUCAAGAAGGCUCUUCCUGCUCCCAACUUAGUAUUUACACUCAUGAAACCAUGUGGCAUCCAUCCACAAGCCCUCUCCGUGAUCCCUAUGUCUUUUGCUCGCCACAGUCGUCCAGACUCUUCAUAAGCACGUCCCUAAUAAAAAUAGAAAUUUAGCAUUAACUUUUUAGAGCAAAUCGAUUAGAAACUUGAGCUCAUAUUGCACCUUUCACCUGACUAGUCUAUUUUUAUGAUGACAGUGUUUGUGAGACUGUAAAAUCUGAGCAUGGAAGGGAAAAGAGAAGAAAUACUUCUCCUGCUGAAAAAAAAAUGAAAAGAAGAGAGAAGAAUGAACCCUCUUUGAUAAUAAGGAAUAAUACCGUGGUAGUAUCCAAGAUGGGGGUGUUCGCAUCAUAUGCCUGUCUACUUAAUCCUCUCAUAACAUGAAUCCCAAGCUUCAAACCCACGCUCUGUACUUUCUGGGCUACUUCAGUGAACCCUUUCCCAUCUUCAGAUGAGGGCCACCUAUCUGGAUCAGGGAUCAACCUCCCCCAUUCAUCAAUUACAUCAAAUCCAAGAGAAUUUGGGUAAGCACCUGGAACGUUCUUCCUAUACCACAGGUAAUCUAUAACUGCAUACUACAUGGAAUUUCACAGAUAAAAGACAACUUCUAUUUCAAUAAACUUUCCGUUCUCAAAUUGUUCCAGUAAUUAAAAAAGUUCUAAAAGUUGAUUGUAGUCAUCAGUCAUUUUAUACCUCAUAUCCAUAAGGCUGUAGACGCUGAGAUAUCUUUUCGGCACUUUGCAAGAAGUCUACUUCAGAUAGAAUCCAGUCAAAGGAAUCGUAAGAGUUCCAACCUCGAGGAGGGAAGCUAGCGUGCUCAGGUUGAGAUGAUACCCUAAAACAGGUUGUGUACAAAUGUUUUAAGUUCACAAACUAUAUUUAGCCAAGAAAGCCUUCAAAACAAAUGUUGGAACAAUUAUGGGAUUGAAAAAAAAGAAGCAUGAUCGUGUAUUCUUCAAUUCAAUGUCCUAUGAUGAUCAUCAAAGACUAAAGAAGACAGUUUAUCGAAAUAGUAAAAUUUAAGAAUGAGUUGCAGUGCUAUUUAGUUAGUAAUUUUUUUUUUUUUUAGUUUUGAAAGUACUUGUCUUGCUUCAAAGAAUCAAAUGUAAAAAUGGUUUUCUUAUCUCAAAACCAGAGAAGGAAAUUUACAACAAACACUGGAAUAUAUCUACCAGCCAACUCCAAUGUGAAUCAUAACAGUAGUGAAGAGAAGAAACAUAGAGAGAGAAACACCUGUAACGAUAAGAACUGAAGGAGAAGAGAAACAGAGAGCUCAGCAGUUGGAUCCUCAUUGUUUUAGUAUACUGAAACGCAAAGGCAACCCUUCUUCCUAGCUAUCUACGACAAGGUGAGAGCGUAUCUCAUAUAGAGCAAACAUACCCAAGGCUAAUUAGUCAAACACUGUAAAAGGUUUAGCAUCACUCAACUAGGAAAGAAAGUAUAUGGUAUCAGAUGAGGCACCCAAAAAAUCAUGCAGCCAACACCGAAUCAUGACAUCAUCCCAUUUAUGAAAAUCGUCAGUAUAUCUAAAUUCCUAUGGCCUAUAUAAUUAAGUACAUGAAAGGAAACAAAUAUUCAAACUAAAUUAUGAUCCAAGGAAAACGGAUAUAGUAUAUAAGGGAAUUAAUCAAAUAUAAUAUCCUGCAGAACAAUCUUAAAAUAAUGUAAGGAACCAAAUAUUAUGUAAGGAAACUGAAUAUAUUUUAUCACUAUUAGAAAAUUAGAAGAAGAAAAAUAAAACAAAUUAUUAUUAUAAAACAGAUUAUUAUUAAAUAUAUUGGGUUGGGUCGUCCCAUCUAUAUAGGCUGAGCCCAGCCUGGUUGGGCUCGGCCCAAAAGAGUUAGACUCAUGUCAACCCAACAGUUCUUGUCUUUUUUUUUUUUUUGGGAUGGGCUGGGCUGGCACGAGAUUGGCCCAAACUCGAGAAAGGAAUUAUCCCCCCCAAAAGCUCUGCAUGCUGAACGAAUUACCGUUUUGCAUACAUAACGAAGACAAGGGGGGAACGAAGGAAAGAAGAAGGGAGAAGUUUACCUGGUAUGGGAAGCUGCUGGUGGAGAGGAUGGUGGUCACGCCGGCAGUGGGUUGCUAGAGGAGGAAGAAGGAGAAGUUUGCAGAGGAGAGAGAGAGAGAGAGCUCGGUUGUGCGCUUACUAUGUGAGGUGGUCGGGCAGUUGCUUGUGGUGGAGAUGGUGGUGGUUAAGUCGGUGGUGGGGUGUUGGUGGCUGAAGGCCACGGUAGAGAGAGAGAGAGAGUUCAUGGUGGCAGCAGAAAUGGGGGGGAAGGCUAAUUUCCCCCUUUUCGGGCCAUGAAAUCCACUCAUAUUUAUAAAGAGGUGGAAGAGGGAUGUUUCGUCUCUAUUGGUGCCAAAUCUUGGCUCUUAAUUCGACCCGGUAGGAUCCCAACCAUUAGCUCAAAGUAGCUAUCAUGGGCUGUCAGAUUUGUUACAGGAAAAUGGCUGGUCAGGUUGGCCACUUUGAGGCAGUGCUAUAGCCACUGUGGUAUCAAUCAGGUAGAACAGAUAACACUGGCAUGUAGCCAGGUGCUAGGUGAUCAUUUUCAUGUAACUUUUGUCCAAUUUAGUGGAGAGAUAAAGCAUAAAACGCCUCGGGAAGGAGGCCACUUGAGCAGCUUCUCUAGAGCAGAAGAUGAACAGUCAACCUCAAAACGGAGUCGUUUUGGCAAAGUUCAUUUAAAUCCUUCGGUUUCAGAUGUCUCUAAAUUACACCUCUGAUUGGCUUCAAACUUUUAAUUUUGUUCAAUUUCAGCCCUGGAUUUCAGUUUCUUUUUUCAUCUUGGUUCUUGAUUUUGGAUUUAUGCAAUUUUACUGUUAAUUGACCGUUAAACUUUCAAUUCUCUUCAAUUUCACCCCUGAUUUCUAUCGAUUGGGUUCCCAGAGUUUGACACCUUUUUCAAAAUGAUCAUUGGCUUUGAAUUUCUUCAAUUUAGUCUUUAAUUGACCUCAAAACUUUGAUUUUCUUGCAAUUUUACCCCUGAUUUCAAUCAAUUGACUUGAAAAAAAUUAAAUUUGGUCUUCUAAAAUUCCAUUCUUCUCAAUUAAGCCCAAAUUGGGCUCCCAAACUUAAUUUUUCACUUAUUAAGCCCCUAAUAAAAUUAAUUUGACCCAUUUAAAGAUAAUUAAGUCCUUGCACCUAAUUAAAUUCUUCAAUUGAACCCAAAUUAAUUUUUAAACAUAAUUAAACUUUAAUUUAGUCCAUGAUUAAAUCAAAUUGGCCUAUUAAGAAUCUAAUUAUGUCCCUAGGCUUAAUUUUUAUACAGAUUUGUCCAAUAAUGAUUUAAUUUGACCUUGAAUCUGCAUUGUCUCUCUCGUUUUGGGUAAAAUAAGGUACAAUUAGGCUCUCGAUUCCAUCCAAAAUUGUAGCUUGAUUUUUCUGUAUAUUUGUAAUCCUCCUCAGCCUACUUUUUCCAAAAUAUCAAUCUCUAUUUUUUUUGGAUUUUUUUUUAAAGAAAAAAGAUGAAUUUGGGGAAUAACCAAAAAACGAGUUAUAACAAUAAUGAUGAUAAAUGAUAAUCAAAUUAUUUUUUAAUUUGUCAAUGAUGCUAGCGUGUUGAGAAUUGUAAGUCUUCUCGUGUCCUUUUCAACUCUACUUGAGGGAAUAAUAACUUUUAUCCUUAAAAAAGUUAACAAAAAGCUAGAAGGGCUCGAAUAUUUAUUGUGGACUUAGAGAUAUAACUAUUAUGGAUUCAAAUAGUGGUGUAUUCCUUUUUUUUCUUUCUCAAUCUUAUCAUAGGUUGUGUGGCUUAUUUGAGGAAAAGUUUUAAAAACUUCCUCCUACUUUUCAACUAGGAAAAAGAGAGACAAGAAAUAAGGAGUAGAUACAAAUGCAAAGGAGGGAGCUUAGAAAAAAAAAAGUGUUAUUCUAAGGGGUUGUCUAAUUUGGCAACAAUAUAUUAAAUGGGAAAAAAAUUAGUUAAAAGGGUUCCAUGGUUUAAGAUUUGUUAUUUGUGUUUGAAUUUGAAUUUGGGAAUUAGGGUGGAAUUAGGAUUAGGGCUCCAUGGUUUUAGGUUUGUGAUUUGUGUUUCAAUUUAGGAACUAGGGUGGGAAUUGAGAAUCACGGUUUUAUUGAUGGGUUUGAAAAACAAGAAGGAGCAACACGAGAAACAGUUACAGGGUAAGUUUUCUCUUAUAGUUUUGUAAGAGUUCUUUUACAGCACAAACAUUAAUAAGAUUAUCACGAUUCUUUUAAUAAUUUAUCAUAAAUCAUACUAGACUUAAAAUUGCUAAACAAUCUUUUGAUUUUUAAUGAUUUAGGGUUCCAAUAAAAUAUUCUUAAUUUUGGAUAUUUUUCUAUAUACAUUUUUUUUCUCGAUCGCUUUUACACAUGACAAUUUUGCUCUGAUUUUGCUUUUUUAGGUUGUUAAUUAUUGAUGAGAAUCAUCAACUAACACCAGAGAAUUCAUUACAUGUGUCAAUUAGGCCUUUUACAUGGUCAAGAACUAAGAAGAUUAAAGAGGCAUCUAAUGAGAUAAUUCAAGAUAUUUGGGCUUUAUUUCCUACAAAACUUGCGAAUUCAAUUUAUUUUUCUACUUACACAUGGGUUGAACUUAUUUUUAUAAUGUCUAAUUUUAUGUUAAUAGGCAUAAUUUUUGACUCAAUCGUUUGUUCGGGCUAAAAUUUUACCAAGAUUAUAAAAACCUUUUUUCAUAUGGGGUUCAUUAGACUGUUGUAACGAUCAGAUAUUGGGAAAACCUUUUUAUAAAGCCUAGAAGUUAGUGUUCAAAAUAUGCAAUAUUUUUCUAGUCGAUUUAAGAUUCUUUUUCUUAUUUUAUUUGGAUUUUUUUGUUAUUUUUUCAGCCUUGUUAGUACAUUGUACCUAAUAUAAAUAAGGUUAUUUCACUUGUAUUUAGAUAGAUGAAUUAAUUAUUCAGAAACAAAACUUAUGUGUGAGAGUUUACUCUUACUCUUGAUUCUUUAUAAAACUUUUAAAACUUAUCAAAGAUUACUUCUUUGUAGCGCUCAUCUUUAUACCUUCGAUUAUUGGUUCAUUAUAAUCAACAAGUCAAGGUUUUCAACCUUAUACCUUCUAUUCGUGAUUCAUUAUAAUUAACAGGUCGAGAUCUUCAUCCAAUAACUAUAUUUUUUUGGUUUAGGUAAUCGUUAAAUCAUGUAUUUCCAAACUUGAUUUUUAUUUUCUCAGGUUGUGUUCAAUCUUGAUUGUGUAUUAUAAGGUUUUUACCCUCCGAGUUAACAUAAAUUGGUAUCAGAGCUUAGCUUUAAAAUUAGAUUUUAUCUAUGUACCUAUCUUUAAAUUCAUUUUUUAUUCAUGUUUUGAGUCUUGUUUCCUUUGUUAGGUUUGGUUUUCUCUCAAAAUUAUCGAACCCUGGUUCUUAUGUCUUGAAUUUCAACUUAUUUUGUAGUUUAGCUUAGUGUUGUGUUUUCUUUGAAUUAUAUAUAUAUAUAUAUAUAUAUAUAUAUAUAUAUAUAUAUAUAGAGAGAGAGAGAGAGAGAGAGAGAGAGAGUUAUUUGUUAUUUACGUUUCUGCUAAUAUUUAUUAAAAAAAGAUCAAAUCACAAAAUCAAGUUGAUUAAAAUUGGUUUUGUUGAAAUCGAUAGCCUUGAAAAAAAUUUCAUAUAGAUAUUAUUUAAAAGUGGUAAAAGCAAGUGAAGUGAUAUAUCUUUAAAUGCAAACAUAUAAAGGAAUGUGUGAGGGUCAUUACUAAUAUAUCUUACAACUUUAGAAUAUAUCUUUUAAAAUCAAGUCAACAUGCAAGCAAGGUAAUGAUUAAAGAUCGAAUUCUUUUAAGGAGAGGGAAUGGUGAAAAUCAUCAAUGAAUACCACAUGAUUCAUUACAUUUGUCAAUUGAGCUUAUUAUAAGGUCAAUAACUAAGAAGAUUAAAUAGGCAUUCAAUGAUCUCAUUCAAGUUAUUUGGGUUCUGCAAUGGUAUUCUUUGUUUUUCUUUAUUAGAUUUGCUUAUGUUGUUUCUACUGUGGGUUACGUUUAUAGGAUUGGGCUUUUGCUAAAAAAGCCCAAUUUUUUUUUAAAGAAUCCAGGGAUCAUUUUAGAAUUUUUUGUGGGUUCUUCACACUUUUUUUCUAGUUUUUUCACUUAAUAUCGAGACUGUAGACUUAUAUUGUAAAAUACUAACUCAAUCUUAAAUACUUGCUUUUCGCUGAAAUUUCAAAAAAAAAUCUAAAAAUUUCUAAAAAAAUUCUUCAUUUUUAAAAUAUAAAAAAUAUGUUUUAUUAUAUGUAUAUAUAGCCAAAUUCUGAAACUUUCAUGCAUAUUUUAUAUAAAAAAAAUUACAUUUUCAUUAUAUUUUGAAAAUAAAUAUAUAAAAAAAUCAAUUAAUAGAUAUCAGUAUAUCACAAUAAAUUUGCUAUUAUCCAUUAGGAUUUGUGUUAACUAAUUGGCUUAACAUAGAACUCCGAAACAAAAUAAAAGGAACCAAAUGACAGAUCGAUAUCACAGUGAUUAGGAUACUGAUUAAUGAGUGUUAUAGAACUUUUCAAGUGAGGAACAAAUUUAGUUACCUAAAUUAAUUGCAUUUCAGGAUGACUAAAACUUAAUUUGCAUUCCAGGAGAAGGGAAAAAUAUAUCGAAAAGUAUAUAGUGUAAAUGGUGGAUCCAAGAAAAUUUAUAAACAGAAAGGUGAAAGGUGCAGACUUUUCUCUCCAAUUUGUCUCCAAACUUAAGCCUGUUGCCUUCGCUCCUCUGCUUGCUCCAAUGCAUUGUAUUUUAGCAUGUCGUCCCUUCAAUAUUUUGCUUUCCAGUUAGCACCUUAUGGUUUCAUUUGCUUCCCUGUAUUAACAACGCUGGCGAAGCUUCUUUCCCACAGGAUCAAUGGCCAUCCAGCGUUACCAGCAUUUGAGCAACACAAGCAGACAUAAGUUGUUUUCUGACAAAAAGCUGCUUGUUCUAUCCUCGCUCCGACCACUGCCAAGUCGGCAUCAGCCUCUAAUGUGUCACCUCCCACCUCCCGAGUCCGAAGCCUUUUAUCUGGGUCAGUUAAACAUAUUGCUGUGCUCUAUUCUGGUUGAUGAACAAUGCCACCUGCUGAACAUAUCUGCUAAUAUCUCUUUUAUUGUCUCUUCAUAUUUUAAGAAAGCUUUGGAAUAGCUUCUUGAAUGCUGAACUGCUAUUUUUGAUUCCGUGCUAGCUUCUUGAAUGCUAGCUGAACUGCUAUUUUUGAUUCUGUGCUUGCAAUUUUGUAGUUUAAGAAAGCUUUGGAUUGCAAUUUUGUAGUUUAAGAAAGCUUUGGAAUAGCUUCUUCAAUGUUGAACUGCUAUUUUGGUUCUGUGUUUGCAACUGUUAUAGAAUGCGGUUUAAUUCAAUGUCAUCUCUCUUUUCACAUCCGUUUGGGAGGCCCGUGCCGCAACAAUCAAAAGAAAACCCCGCUCCGCUGCGGGAAAUGUAUCUAGUUAUUAUUAUCAAGAAACUAAAAUACUGACUUAACAAUUAAGAGUUGAUUUAGAAAUUAAUUAAGAACAAACUUGAUUUUUUAUUUUCAUUAUUAAUAGUUAAAUGACUUAAUUAGACUUAUAAAUAAAUAAAUAAAAUAUUAACUUUCAUCAAGGGGUUUUUAGAUAUUUUUAUUUUUCAAGCAUAAUUAUAUUACUAAAUUGUGAUAGGAAGCAACAAAAAUAAAGCUUUCUUCCCGGGGUUUUCCAUCUUUUUAUUUUGGUUUUUUUUUUAUGAUAAUCAAGUUGAUUUAAAAUAAAUUUUAUUUUUCAUAAAUAUAGAAUAUUAAUUAAAAGAAAAAAUGGUUGGUCAAAGUAUGAGAGUGCCCUACUAUUUAUAUUUCAUAUGUUAUUUAGUAUUGUUGUUUAUUUUAUUUAUUUUAUUGAUUCUUUUUUUUAAUUUUUUUCUUAAUCAUUAGAUUUCAUUUGAUUUUUAAAUCAAAUUCAAUCCUCAUUCUUUUAAUAUUUUUAUAUCCUUCCACUAAUUAAAUUUUAUUUUAAUUUCACCCUCAUCAUUUGAUUUUAAUUUUGUUUUCAUGUCGAAUUUGACUCCACUCUUUUUACUGUGUUUAUUUUGUUUUUGGAUGUCAUUUUAUUACUUUUUUAAAAAAAUUCAUAGGUUUUAAAGGUUAACACAUGUUGACUUUGAUCUUUUUAGGUCCUUUUAUAAAAUUUAUUUUUUUUAUAGCUGACCAAACCCAAUUACUUUUGGUUCUGGCCAAUGCCAUACCUAAUUGUAGAUGAGUCUUGCGCUGUCAGGCCUAAUAUUUGGGUCUGGUGUUGCCAAUUCCAUGUUUGGAUCUGGCAGCAUAUGUCAGACCGAACACUUGGCCCUGGCAAUAUGUCAAGCCCAAGUGUAACCUGUGUAUGGCGCCUACUAGACCCAAGCACCAUCUGGGUCUGGUAGGUGCUACCAAGCCCAGUAGCUUGGCCUGGCGCACUACCAAGCCAACAGGGUGAGCCUAAUACAUGUUUCCUGAAAGUGUUGAACCCGAUGAUUUUUGUCAUCAUAACUCAGGCAUCGCCAGAUUUGCUAUGCCCAUGAAUUCAAACAUAAUACAUGAAUCAAACGUCAUCAAUCUUAUAGAUUUUUAUGUAAAAUCUUAGAGGAUUUAUUUCUCAACAAACAGGCUUAAUUAAACAAGUCUACACCCCGCCAACACCAUUAGGUGUAUUAAAAUCUUUCAUGACCCGUCAUAUCUCCAUCUUUUAGCUAGAUAAAACGAGUGGAAUACAACCCACAAUACAACUCAAAAUAUCACAAAGAUAAAAUUACACUUCAAUCCCUCCUCUCCACAAAAGGACAAGACUCAUGAGUUAUAAAUACACCAUGAGACCUUCUAAACAAAAGUUCACAAUCUUCAUUCUCUAUUGCAUAUAUAUUUUCAGAGCAUCUCUCUCUAGAAUAUUAUUGUAUUUUCUCUCUCUAAAAAGAUACUUAUUUAAGCAUCGGAGAGUCUCCACCUUUAUCAAAGAGGACCUUUUGCAGGUAUUAGCCAUAAGCCACUUUGACCUACCAAGUAUCAAGCAUAAGCUAUCAACCAUCUUCACUAGGGAGAAUGGAUGAGAUUGUCAGGACCAAUUGAUUAAUCGAUUAUUCAACUCGGGAGCCUUGGUCCUAGGCUACUUUGAUUUUUUUAGGACUUAAUCAGUAGCACCGUCUGUGGGAACAUGAUAAAAAAAAAACCAUUGAUUUCUUCCUAAAACUUACUUUUGACAUUUUCAGGUCAUUCUAUGACAUACAACCAAUGCCCACCUGGGUUAGGACGCAAGACAAGUCUACUCACUACCGUAGACACUCCUACCCAGCAAGAGCUUUAACAACUCACUAGUGAGGUGCAACUCCUCACAUAGGCAAUAUUGGCAACUCAAGGGAAAAAUCAGACAUUUUCACCCCAACAAGUCUUAACACCCUCAACAACACACAAUGCUUUAACACCACGACCAUCAGCUGCACCAGAAGCCCGUAGAUGAUUACACUACCUAAAAAAGACCAGGAAGAAUGACAAUCGCAGGAGUUCCUUAAAGGAUCACUGGCAUAAUUGCGACACCCAUGCACAAAGCAAAUACUCUAAAUGAACUUCCCCUGGUUGUUAUGAGACGAACAUUAGUCACUGUAAUCGUCGUACGCCUAGCUCCCCAGGCUCCCAAAAGCCCAACAUAUAAAGAACUAAGCGACGGUUUAUGCAUGAGCAUAUCUAGGAGAAUGUCUAUAGCCACCAUUAAUGGAGAGGUUCUCCUUUGUCCAAAUACAUAUUGAACAUCGACUCUCUAAGGACUAUAUUUUCAAGGGAGUACAAAAUAUGCGCAAUAGCUUAGAGUUUGUCAUCCAAGAUUGUGACUCGAUGUGUAAGAUAUUUUCUAUAACCAUCAGAGGGUCUGUGCAUGCCCAAUAUAACAACUUGGAACCAAAAUCUAUUAAAGGGUUUAAUGAUCUUAGCGUCAAGCUAUAAGCACGCUUUAGUAUUAGUAAGGUUGUUAAAAUCGUGUUUUGACUCGUAAAAUAAUGUGAUUUUAAGAGUCAAAACAUCCUUUACGUGCUGAAUCGUUUGAAAAAAAAUCAAAAAUGGAUAAAUAGAUGAAAUUGGGUUGAAAUCAGGUGAAAUUGUUAAAAUCGGGUAAAAUCGCAAAAAUCACGAGUUCAGGAUUGAUUGAACGAUUUCACCAAAACAGAAGUAAAUGUUUCCCUCCAUGCUCCAACUGUCUGGCGCCUAUUGGCUGGGUACAGUCACACAUACGUGCCUAUGAGGCUGUGCCUAUGAGGCUAUGCCUAUAACGCCGAUGAGAACGAGGUGGCUUACGGGAAAACAACAGAUGCACACAAGACCACAAAUCUGUUUCAAGUGGAAUCAAUCACUGGCCGCCACAUGGCAAUGGAUAUUUGCUCAAUUUGCUUUAGUGUCUUCUCUGUUAUGUCCUUGUUUGUUUUCUUCUACAUCGAGAAAGUCAAAGAGGUCUCAAUAAAAUGAACAGGGCAGCAGAUAUCAUAUCAGACAAUAAGCUCAUAUAGCAUUUUCAAGUAGUGGGUACGCCAUGUUUUAUGUUCUUAAAUUUAUGUUGAGCUUUUUAUAUUGUCUUGAACUCAUAGGAAAUGAAACUGGUUUUAGUUUACAUGACACACCAGCAGAUUGUUUAUUUUAAGUUUGUUAAUUAUUAGUUAAUGAAAAGUUACUUAAAUUAUGUAUGAAUUUUUAUUUGACCCAUAUAUUUUAAGAUGCUUGAACUAUAUAUGAAUUUUUAUUUGAAGCAUGUAUUUCAAGGUGCUUGAAACUAUGUAUGAAUUUUUAUUUGUAGCAUGAAAUUUUUUUAUGUAUUUUAAAAUUCCUUACGAUUUUAUGAUCUAUUUUUACGAUCCGAGUUUAUUACUCCUUUUCCGUGCCGAGUUAAAAAUUUGUUUUUAACAACCUUGAGUACUAGCAUACCCGUAAAAAAAACUUCACAAAACACUUUUGUGCUCCCUACUAAGAAGGCAAGUCUCCAUAAAUAUAUUUGAGGAAAUUCAAUAAGAAGAUGCUUAAGGUAAAAUAAUUGCUCAGCAGCCUUAAAAGCUUUGAAAGAAGUUAAGGAAUAUGUCCUAUGAGGAAAGUUUAUAUAAUAACUUAUUCAAAAAUAACUUUUUAUUUUUUUCAGGUUGAAGUUCCCUCGUCAUUAAUCCUAGGAAUGUGUAUUCUUCUAGGAAAGGAAUGGACUUGGUCUGAUGUCUACAGAAGGAUUCUUGAUGAAGUGCACUAUUUAGGAUGCAGUGCACUAUUUAAUGUCUACAGAAAGAUACAAGAAGAUUAGUAAAUCAAUAUGACAUUUAGGAGCUGGUGUAGCAUAAUCAUUUUGGCUGCACCGACUUAAAGCGUACAUGAAUUCACUGUCUCUGAUACAACAGAUACCUCUUCUUUCCACUCACACAACAACAACAACAGAGAAAGGAAAGAAACUCUGCUGUGUCAGUUUAUACUAGGGACAGUUGAGGACAAACAAUGCACAGCCAUGGAUCUCUACCUCCAUAGAUAUUGAAUCUUUUAUGUCUCCAAAACCGAAACAUGACGUCGCAUUCAAGUUUUUCCCAGGAAGUGCCUUAGUCAGGUCUGAUAUCGUUGCUGAUAUUACUGUCUUCUCUGAGUUCAGAUUGAAAAGUGCAACAUAAAUCUCUCCUAAAA